ACGCUUCUUUCCUCCCGAGUGCUUGCACUCAAUUGGAAAGAGGAGUGGCGGACGGGUGAGUAACACGUGGGUAACCUACCCAUCAGAGGGGGAUAACACUUGGAAACAGGUGCUAAUACCGCAUAACAGUUUAUGCCGCAUGGCAUAAGAGUGAAAGGCGCUUUCGGGUGUCGCUGAUGGAUGGACCCGCGGUGCAUUAGCUAGUUGGUGAGGUAACGGCUCACCAAGGCCNCGAUGCAUAGCCGACCUGAGAGGGUGAUCGGCCACACUGGGACUGAGACACGGCCCAGACUCCUACGGGAGGCAGCAGUAGGGAAUCUUCGGCAAUGGACGAAAGUCUGACCGAGCAACGCCGCGUGAGUGAAGAAGGUUUUCGGAUCGUAAAACUCUGUUGUUAGAGAAGAACAAGGACGUUAGUAACUGAACGUCCCCUGACGGUAUCUAACCAGAAAGCCACGGCUAACUACGUGC
This 471-nucleotide ribosomal RNA is filed under the name Enterococcus faecalis. RNAcentral describes it as "bacterial SSU rRNA". It matches the Rfam family "Bacterial small subunit ribosomal RNA", at positions 66 to 508 of the family's 1533-position model. The record is from RNAcentral. Lineage: Bacteria; Bacillati; Bacillota; Bacilli; Lactobacillales; Enterococcaceae.